GACGAACGCUGGCGGCGUGCUUAACACAUGCAAGUCGAACGGAAAGGCCCCCACCUUGGUGGGGGUGCUCGAGUGGCGAACGGGUGAGUAACACGUGGGUGAUCUGCCCUGUACUUCGGGAUAAGCUUGGGAAACUGGGUCUAAUACCGGAUAGGACCAUGGUUUAGUGUCUCAUGGCGGAAAAAUUAUUGUUUUGGUGCAGGAUGAGCUCGCGGCCUAUCAGCUUGUUGGUGGGGUAAUGGCCUACCAAGGCGUCGACGGGUAGCCGGCCUGAGAGGGUGGACGGCCACAUUGGGACUGAGAUACGGCCCAGACUCCUACGGGAGGCAGCAGUGGGGAAUAUUGCACAAUGGGCGCAAGCCUGAUGCAGCGACGCCGCGUGGGGGAUGACGGCCUUCGGGUUGUAAACUCCUUUCGUUAGGGACGAAGCCACACCUUUUUUGGGUGUGGUGACGGUACCUUUGUUAAGAAGCACCGGCUAACUACGUG
Molecule: ribosomal RNA, 489 nt
Filed under: uncultured bacterium
Lineage: Bacteria
Description: partial 16S ribosomal RNA
Rfam family: Bacterial small subunit ribosomal RNA
Source: RNAcentral